This is a long non-coding RNA of Salvelinus namaycush (lake trout), 737 nucleotides long. RefSeq lists it as uncharacterized. The transcript has 3 exons. NCBI's taxonomy places the organism in Eukaryota, Metazoa, Chordata, Actinopteri, Salmoniformes, Salmonidae. The record is from RefSeq and is a predicted model, not a curated record.
UAUACUGUACAGACCAGUGUACUGAAAAACGGGCUAAUAACACUUCCCUGUGGCUAUUUUGACUCAGAUUACCUCUUACAUAAAGUCAAAUUAAUUGGACAACAGAGGCUAUCCAGUUCUUCUGGCUGGAGAACUGUGUAUUGCUGACACGUGGGGAUACUGAGGGGGAAACUACUUCCCCGCCCUAAAACUAAGACCCACAUAGAGUAUUCUGCCACUGGAGUAGGUGAAGAGGCUUAUCUGCGCUUCAGAGGUUAAAGACAUGGCUGAAUUUGUCAUCAGACAGCUGUCGAUUUCCAGUUCUGUCUAGACUGUUUCCAUGGAAACGGAUACUGUUCGGAACCAGAACCUAAAGACUGAAUGAAGACUAUGAGUCUGAAAACACCCUCAACAACAGCUCUAUUACCAUACAGGCUACAGUACAGGCACAGAGACUGACGGGUGUUCCUGAUAACAGUCACAUGACUGGAAGACACAAAAGGAUGCUAUCUAUCAGAUGGGAAGCAGAAGGCACAAGCUGUGGUUUUGUCAACGGACAGUCUCAACUGUUCCACAGAGAUAGGAAAACACACACACACACACACACCGCAUGCCUUCCUGUGGCUUCCUGUGCAUUUAGCAACAUUUCAGGAAACUGCCACCAUACUCGAGGACAUUCAACCAUCAAGCCAAAUGCCUCAUCUGGAAAUUAAAACAACUGUCAACUUUUUUAUGUAUGUCAAUAAACAUAUUUAAUU